This 456-nucleotide ribosomal RNA is filed under the name uncultured bacterium. RNAcentral describes it as "bacterial SSU rRNA". It matches the Rfam family "Bacterial small subunit ribosomal RNA", at positions 340 to 786 of the family's 1533-position model. The record is from RNAcentral.
UACGGAAGGCAGCAGUGGGGAAUAUUGCACAAUGGGCGCAAGCCUGAUGCAGCCAUGCCGCGUGUAUGAAGAAGGGCCUUCGGGUUGUAAAGUACUUUCAGUCGUGAGGAAGGUGUUAAGGUUAAUAACCUUAGCAAUUGACGUUAGCGACAGAAGAAGCACCGGCUAACUCCGUGCCAGCAGCCGCGGUAAUACGGAGGGUGCGAGCGUUAAUCGGAAUUACUGGGCGUAAAGGGCACGCAGGCGGUUAAUUAAGUUGGAUGUGAAAUCCCCGGGCUUAACCUGGGAAUGGCAUUCAAGACUGGUUAGCUAGAGUCUUGUAGAGGGGGUAGAAUUCCGAUGUGUAGCGGUGAAAUGCGUAGAGAUGUGGAGGAAUACCGGUGGCGAAGGCGGCCCCUGGGACAAAGGACUGACGCUCAUGUGCGAAAGCGUGGGGAGCAAACAGGAUUAGAUACC